RNAcentral lists this ribosomal RNA (342 nucleotides) under uncultured Spongomonas. RNAcentral's name for it is "bacterial SSU rRNA". The stretch from base 126 to 342 matches the Rfam family "Eukaryotic small subunit ribosomal RNA", at positions 740 to 955 of the family's 1831-position model. The record is from RNAcentral. Lineage: Eukaryota; Cercozoa; Imbricatea; Spongomonadida.
GAUUUCUGGUGUGGUGCGCUGAGCCCGCUUCCUUUCGGGGGAGUGAGUGCUUUUAUUUGUGCGCCUACCAUCUUUGUCGAUCAAAGGUUUGGUGAGGUGGAGACGAAAGUUUCCCCUUACCAUAACCUCGACAUCAUUUACUUUGAAAAAAUUAGAGUGUUUAAAGCAGGCAGUAACCGCUAUGAAUACAUUAGCAUGGAAUAAUAAGAUAGGACUUUGGUUCUAUUUUGUUGGUUUCUAGGACUGAAGUAAUGAUUGAUAGGGACAGUUGGGGGUGCUAGUAUUUAACGGCCAGAGGUGAAAUUCUUGGAUUCGUUAAAGACUAACUUAUGCGAAAGCAUU